Long non-coding RNA from Oncorhynchus tshawytscha (Chinook salmon), 1217 nucleotides. The record is from Ensembl. NCBI's taxonomy places the organism in Eukaryota, Metazoa, Chordata, Actinopteri, Salmoniformes, Salmonidae.
GUGGACUACAUAGGUAAUAGGGAGCCAUUUGGGGUGCAGAAUGUGCCGUCUGGUGUCAGUGCUACCCAUUCUAACUUGUCCAUAAUACUGAAUAACCUUUGUACACCGAGGUGUGAUGCCUGCUGUGAACCAGAGGGGGGCGUUGUUUCAUUCUUCCAUACUUCCAUUCUGACAGAAAGCUUCUGGGCCUCGUUUAUAAAACGGACUUCCGAUCAAUUUUGAUCUUAAGUAUAACUUACCCAGAAAACCACAUAUAAGUAGUUAUUUAUAAAAAACCUUAGUCUGACACGGAAAUGAUCUUAUCUCUACUCAGAGUCUAGACUUGACGUAAGUGAUUUUCCCUGCGGGUUAUAAAUGACUAUAUUUUCCCCUUGCAGUUUAAGAUCAGACCAUUUUAUUUUUCACAUCAGCCACAGUUCUGUCUUGCUGUCCCGCCUCGUUCACUGCAGCGGUGACACACUCCCAAGAUACCUGUUUCUGGCUUUUGUUUGACAACCCACUAUUUAGUCCCACAGAAUAAUACACAUUGCCUGUCUUCAAUCUCCUCCUACCAUCGCCGUGAUCUCGUCUUUCGGACCGUGGCUAUUCCUGUCUAAACCCUCGUUUGUGCUAUCAUUCUAUAAGGGGAAAUCGCUGCUUUGUAAGGCACAUUUCAGGUGUCGUUAAUUAGAGAUUUAUUUAGACGACAGGUGCCGUAAAUUACAAAUGGGCCUCUUAGAAGCUGCCUAAGCAAGGUUUUUCAUGCUCAGUGUGCUUCAUGCUUGAAACGUAAGCACACCGUUGGAGAUUAUUUUACGACCAGUUUCCAAAUGACUUGCCAAUUUCCUGCUUCAACGGGUUAUAACAAAACCAUUUUAGUCCAUUAGCUUGGAGAAAACAUUGGGGAAAUAACUUGUGAUUUCUGAAAUGAUAAGGAUGCCCACAAGUCUCUCCAAGCCGCACGUAAGCGCUUGUAAAUCCUAUUGAUGGUAUCAAACAACUUCUGAACUGUGGGCUUAAGCCUCACCACCGAUGCUGUCAUACAACACAGGAACCGAUAAACAAUCUGCAUUCCACUCUCCUCACACCAAUGAUGCUCUACAAUUUAUAUUCUGUUUUUGCUGUAGUCAAUGAUUUGUCUAUGAAGGUGUGGAAAAGUUUUUAAUUUAAAUUUUUUUUAAAGAUUCUCCACACUAACUUAGAAUGUGAUGUACAUCUCAAUAAGGCCUUGGGCAAAC